This 835-nucleotide ribosomal RNA is filed under the name uncultured bacterium. RNAcentral describes it as "bacterial SSU rRNA". It matches the Rfam family "Bacterial small subunit ribosomal RNA", at positions 56 to 880 of the family's 1533-position model. The record is from RNAcentral.
UGCGAGUCCAGCGGCAGCGGAAAGUAGCUUGCUACUUUGCCGGCGAGCGGCGGACGGGUGAGUAAUGUCUGGGAAACUGCCUGAUGGAGGGGGAUAACUACUGGAAACGGUAGCUAAUACCGCAUAAUGUCGCAAGACCAAAGAGGGGGACCUUCGGGCCUCUUGCCAUCAGAUGUGCCCAGAUGGGAUUAGCUAGUAGGUGGGGUAAUGGCUCACCUAGGCGACGAUCCCUAGCUGGUCUGAGAGGAUGACCAGCCACACUGGAACUGAGACACGGUCCAGACUCCUACGGGAGGCAGCAGUGGGGAAUAUUGCACAAUGGGCGCAAGCCUGAUGCAGCCAUGCCGCGUGUAUGAAGAAGGCCUUCGGGUUGUAAAGUACUUUCAGCGAGGAGGAAGGCGAUAAGGUUAAUAACCUUGUCGAUUGACGUUACUCGCAGAAGAAGCACCGGCUAACUCCGUGCCAGCAGCCGCGGUAAUACGGAGGGUGCAAGCGUUAAUCGGAAUUACUGGGCGUAAAGCGCACGCAGGCGGUCUGUCAAGUCGGAUGUGAAAUCCCCGGGCUCAACCUGGGAACUGCAUUCGAAACUGGCAGGCUAGAGUCUUGUAGAGGGGGGUAGAAUUCCAGGUGUAGCGGUGAAAUGCGUAGAGAUCUGGAGGAAUACCGGUGGCGAAGGCGGCCCCCUGGACAAAGACUGACGCUCAGGUGCGAAAGCGUGGGGAGCAAACAGGGUUAGAUACCCUGGUAGUCCACGCCGUAAACGAUGUCGACUUGGAGGCUGUUCCCUUGAGGAGUGGCUUCCGGAGCUAACGCGUUAAGUCGACCGCCUGGGGAG